CGACCGGCGCACGGGUGAGUAACGCGUAUGCAACUUACCUAUCAGAGGGGGAUAGCCCGGCGAAGGUCGGAUUAAUACCCCAUAAAACAGGGGUCCCGCAUGGGAAUAUUUGUUAAAGAUUCAUCGCUGAUAGAUAGGCAUGCGUUUCAUUAGGCAGUUGGCGGGGUAACGGCCCACCAAACCGACGAUGGAUAGGGGUUCUGAGAGGAAGGUCCCCCACAUUGGUACUGAGACACGGACCAA
RNAcentral lists this ribosomal RNA (243 nucleotides) under uncultured bacterium. RNAcentral's name for it is "partial 16S ribosomal RNA". It matches the Rfam family "Bacterial small subunit ribosomal RNA", at positions 92 to 334 of the family's 1533-position model. The record is from RNAcentral.